Molecule: ribosomal RNA, 253 nt
Filed under: uncultured bacterium
Lineage: Bacteria
Description: partial 16S ribosomal RNA
Rfam family: Bacterial small subunit ribosomal RNA
Source: RNAcentral
UACGUAGGGCGCAAGCGUUGUCCGGAAUUAUUGGGCGUAAAGAGCUCGUAGGCGGCUUGUCACGUCGGGUGUGAAAGCCCGGGGCUUAACCCCGGGUCUGCAUUCGAUAUGGGCUGGCUAGAGUGUGGUAGGGGAGAUCGGAAUUCCUGGUGUAGCGGUGAAAUGCGCAGAUAUCAGGAGGAACACCGGUGGCGAAGGCGGAUCUCUGGGCCAUUACUGACGCUGAGGAGCGAAAGCGUGGGGAGCGAACAGG